CACGGAGUCACAGGCCACCCAUAUCGGGUCGGAUUUCAUCAGUACCCGAUAUGCGACAUCUUAAUAUCCACUAACCUUCAAACCCUGAACCCUAAAAUCAAUCAAAACCCUAAAUUGUAUUGAAAAUUAUUUCAUCAUCAGAUCUCCUCCAAUCUCGCAAUGGCUGCAAGAUGCAACAGAUUCAUUAACAAAGCUUCAAUUUCAAAUCUCAAAUCCGCUUUUCGGUCCGCCUCUGUUCCCAAAUCUGCCCCUUCAUCCCCAAAGUUUCCCCUUCCAACCGCCUCACCGGCCCCUCGCUUUUCAAUUUCAAGGUGUCCAUCAGAGCUUGGAUGUGUGCAGUCACUAUUACCUCUGCAUAAUGCGGUUGCUGCAGCGAGAUUGACAUCCUGCUUGAGCACUACUUCAAGGAGUUGCAGAUCUCUUUCACAGGGUACACUCUGCCGUACCUCUCCUGGCCUCUAAUAUGUUUUGUGUUAUUUUACAGCACAUAAUUUUCUCAAUGCAUGAAAGAAAUGAACUGGGAUUUACAAGACCUGUCUUCGUGUCAAAUGAAUUUGAUGGAACGUGAUACGUUAUGCUGUUUCUAGAGGCGGGCUUGCUUCAUCGUGCUAAUAAGACGGAACUCUACUUGGAUUAUAUAUAUUUAAUUUAAUUAUUAUCGACGUUCACAAUUCAUAGGAAGUAAAACAAUUAGAUAGAUUCACAAGGAUAUUUUAUUUUAUGUUUUUUUUUUUUUUUUUACCUUUUUGCAUGACAUUUUGGUUGUAAAAUGACUACAUAGAAGGUGGUAUCCGUCUCUGAUAUGGGUUCUUUUUGUUUGAACUAGAGCUGGGUUUAUCGGUUCCAAGGUGACCCGUUAGCAGGCCGAAAUCAUUGAACAAGAAGGCAGGUUCUGUAAUUCAUCCCAGUUAUUUUUGCAGUUCAUAAAAGAUGGCUGAACUACAACAAGUCAUGCAUUAAGAUGUUUAUUACAUAAUACAACUUUAAGAUGUUUCUUGUGUUGACAUU
Helianthus annuus (common sunflower) is the source of this 1008-nucleotide RNA transcript. It is a transcript of the gene named protein NONRESPONDING TO OXYLIPINS 2, mitochondrial, with no coding region annotated. The record is from RefSeq and is a predicted model, not a curated record. The transcript has 4 exons. NCBI's taxonomy places the organism in Eukaryota, Viridiplantae, Streptophyta, Magnoliopsida, Asterales, Asteraceae.